RNAcentral lists this ribosomal RNA (520 nucleotides) under uncultured Glomus. RNAcentral's name for it is "SSU rRNA". It matches the Rfam family "Eukaryotic small subunit ribosomal RNA", at positions 569 to 1091 of the family's 1831-position model. The record is from RNAcentral. Lineage: Eukaryota; Fungi; Glomeromycota; Glomeromycetes; Glomerales; Glomeraceae.
AGCAGCCGCGGUAAUUCCAGCUCCAAUAGCGUAUAUUAAAGUUGUUGCAGUUAAAAAAGCUCGUAGUUGAAUUUCGGGAUCAAUAUGUUGGUCGUGCCUUGGUACGUACUAGUUUAUUGGUUUCUUCCUUCUGACGAACCAUGAUGUCAUUAAUUUGGUGUCUUGGGGAAUCAGGACUGUUACUUUGAAAAAAUUAGAGUGUUUAAAGCAGGCUCACGCUUGAAUACAUUAGCAUGGAAUAAUGAAAUAGGACGUUUGAUUCUAUUUUGUUGGUUUCUAGGAUCGACGUAAUGAUUAAUAGGGAUAGUUGGGGGCAUUAGUAUUCAAUUGUCAGAGGUGAAAUUCUUGGAUUUAUUGAAGACUAACUACUGCGAAAGCAUUUGCCAAGGAUGUUUUCAUUAAUCAAGAACGAAAGUUAGGGGAUCGAAGACGAUCAGAUACCGUCGUAGUCUUAACCAUAAACUAUGCCGACUAGGGAUCGGGAUGAUGUUAAUUUUUAAUGACUCAUUCGGCGCCUUAC